GGGCGCGUAGCUCAGUUGGUUAGAGUGCCUGCUUCACACGCAGGAGGUCCCCAGUUCGAGUCUGGGCGCGCCCACCA
RNAcentral lists this transfer RNA (77 nucleotides) under Bryobacterales bacterium. RNAcentral's name for it is "tRNA-Val". It matches the Rfam family "tRNA". Rfam says of the family: Transfer RNA (tRNA) molecules are approximately 80 nucleotides in length. The record is from RNAcentral. Lineage: Bacteria; Pseudomonadati; Acidobacteriota; Terriglobia; Bryobacterales.